RNAcentral lists this ribosomal RNA (253 nucleotides) under uncultured bacterium. Its description in RNAcentral is "partial 16S ribosomal RNA". It matches the Rfam family "Bacterial small subunit ribosomal RNA", at positions 524 to 776 of the family's 1533-position model. The record is from RNAcentral.
UACGUAGGGGGCAAGCGUUGUCCAGAUUUAUUGGGCGUAAAGAGCGUGUAGGCGGCUAGAUAGGUCCGUUGUGAAAACUCGAGGCUCAACCUCGAGACGCCGGUGGAAACCAUCUAGCUAGAGUCCGGAAGAGGAGUGUGGAAUUCCUGGUGUAGCGGUGAAAUGCGCAGAUAUCAGGAGGAACACCAAUGGCGAAGGCAGCACUCUGGGACGUGACUGACGCUGAGACGCGAAAGCGUGGGGAGCAAACAGG